AGACUUACUUGGCAGGUUAGACACCAUGAUCAGGCAGGUGAUUUUCUCAGAGCAAGGCUCAUUCCUUGCACUCUGGGUGUGCUGAUUCCUGUGAUCUCAAAUGCAGAAAACUGAACUGCAUAAUCUGUGGUAGUAGGGAACUGUUCUCAUGCUCGCUCUCUC
Small nuclear RNA from Meleagris gallopavo (turkey), 162 nucleotides. Its record names the gene U1. It matches the Rfam family "U1 spliceosomal RNA". From Rfam's summary of the family: U1 is a small nuclear RNA (snRNA) component of the spliceosome (involved in pre-mRNA splicing). Its 5' end forms complementary base pairs with the 5' splice junction, thus defining the 5' donor site of an intron. Lineage: Eukaryota; Metazoa; Chordata; Aves; Galliformes; Phasianidae. The record is from Ensembl.